RNAcentral lists this ribosomal RNA (403 nucleotides) under uncultured bacterium. RNAcentral's name for it is "partial 16S ribosomal RNA". It matches the Rfam family "Bacterial small subunit ribosomal RNA", at positions 28 to 526 of the family's 1533-position model. The record is from RNAcentral.
GACGAACGCUGGCGGCGUGCCUAAUACAUGCAAGUCGAACGCAGUGGGGACAGGUGAGUAACACGUGGGUAACCUCCCAUCAGAGGGGAUAACAGUUGGAAACAGGUGCUAAACAGAUACUGAUGGAUGGACCCGGGGGGCAUUAGCUAGUUGGUGGGGUAACGGCUCACCAAGGCGAAGAUGCAGAGCCUGCCUGAGAGGAUGACCGUCCACACUGGGACUGAGACACGGCCCAGACUCCUACGGGAGGCAGCAGUGGGGAAUCUUCGGCAAUGGGCGAAAGCCUGACAGAGCCACGCCGCGUGAAUGAAGAAGGUCUUCGGAUCGUAAAGUACUGUUGGUAGAGAGGCGGUAUCUAACCAGAAAGCAACGGCUAACUCCGUGCCAGCAGCCGCGGUAAUAC